CCUACGGGAGGCAGCAGUGAGGAAUAUUGGUCAAUGGGCGCGAGCCUGAACCAGCCAAGUAGCGUGAAGGAUGACUGCCCUACGGGUUGUAAACUUCUUUUAUAAAGGAAUAAAGUGAGGCACGUGUGCCUUUUUGUAUGUACUUUAUGAAUAAGGAUCGGCUAACUCCGUGCCAGCAGCCGCGGUAAUACGGAGGAUCCGAGCGUUAUCCGGAUUUAUUGGGUUUAAAGGGAGCGUAGAUGGGUUGUUAAGUCAGUUGUGAAAGUUUGGGGCUCAACCGUAAAAUUGCAAUUGAUACUGGCAGCCUUGAGAACAGUUGAUGUAGGCGGAAUGUGUGGUGUAGCGGUGAAAUGCUUAGAUAUCACGAAGAACUCCGAUUGCGAAGGCAGCUUACUAAACUGCCACUGACAUUGAUGCUCGAAAGUGUGGGUAUCAAACAGGAUUAGAUACCCUAGUAGUC
RNAcentral lists this ribosomal RNA (460 nucleotides) under uncultured bacterium. Its description in RNAcentral is "partial 16S ribosomal RNA". It matches the Rfam family "Bacterial small subunit ribosomal RNA", at positions 338 to 795 of the family's 1533-position model. The record is from RNAcentral.